This 606-nucleotide ribosomal RNA is filed under the name Roseivivax lentus. Its description in RNAcentral is "bacterial SSU rRNA". It matches the Rfam family "Bacterial small subunit ribosomal RNA", at positions 62 to 715 of the family's 1533-position model. The record is from RNAcentral. Lineage: Bacteria; Pseudomonadati; Pseudomonadota; Alphaproteobacteria; Rhodobacterales; Roseobacteraceae.
UCGAGCGAGGUCUUCGGGCCUAGCGGCGGACGGGUUAGUAACGCGUGGGAACGUGCCCUUCACUACGGAAUAGUCCCGGGAAACUGGGUUUAAUACCGUAUACGCCCUUCGGGGGAAAGAAUUUCGGUGAAGGAUCGGCCCGCGUCUGAUUAGGUAGUUGGUGGGGUAAUGGCCUACCAAGCCUACGAUCAGUAGCUGGUUUUAGAGGAUGAUCAGCAACACUGGGACUGAGACACGGCCCAGACUCCUACGGGAGGCAGCAGUGGGGAAUCUUAGACAAUGGGCGCAAGCCUGAUCUAGCCAUGCCGCGUGAGUGAUGAAGGCCUUAGGGUCGUAAAGCUCUUUCGCUGGGGAAGAUAAUGACGGUACCCAGUAAAGAAACCCCGGCUAACUCCGUGCCAGCAGCCGCGGUAAUACGGAGGGGGUUAGCGUUGUUCGGAAUUACUGGGCGUAAAGCGCGCGUAGGCGGACUGUUAAGUCGGGGGUGAAAUCCCGGGGCUCAACCCCGGAACGGCCUUCGAUACUGGCAGUCUGGAGUUCGAGAGAGGUGAGUGGAAUUCCGAGUGUAGAGGUGAAAUUCGUAGAUAUUCGGAGGAACACCAGUGG